AAACUAGGAUUAGAUACCCUAUUAUUUAAGUUGAUUUUAUAAUUUUUAUUAUUUUAGUUACAUAAAAAAUUAAACUGAUUUGGCGGUUUAUUAAACUUUUUGGAGGAAUCUGUGUAUUAAAUUGAUAGUCCACGAUUUUUUAUACCUUGAUUUUCUUGUAUAUCUCUAUAAUGAAUAUUUUUAGAGAAUAAUUUUCUUUUUCAAAAAUCAUUGUUUAAAUGUAGGUCAAGGUGCAGUUAUAUUAGGGGGUUUCAUGGAUUACAAAAAUUUUUGUUUUUGAAUUAUUUUUUUUAGAAUUUAUGUGAAAUUGGAUUCAAAAGUAAUUUUUUUUUUUAAAAAAAUUGAAUAAUGCUCUGAUUUAUGUACAUAUCGCCCGUCAUUCCCAUCAAGUGGGACAAGUCGUAACAAAGUAGAUGUAUUGGAAAAUGUGUCUAGCAGAUA
RNAcentral lists this ribosomal RNA (441 nucleotides) under Stenocranus major. Its description in RNAcentral is "partial 12S ribosomal RNA". The record is from RNAcentral. Lineage: Eukaryota; Metazoa; Arthropoda; Insecta; Hemiptera; Delphacidae.